UACGAAGGGGGCUAGCGUUGCCCGGAAUCACUGGGCGUAAAGGGUGCGUAGGCGGGUCUUUAAGUCAGAGGUGAAAGCCUGGAGCUCAACUCCAGAACUGCCUUUGAUACUGAGGAUCUCGAGUUCGGGAGAGGUGAGUGGAACUGCGAGUGUAGAGGUGAAAUUCGUAGAUAUUCGCAAGAACACCAGUGGCGAAGGCGGCUCACUGGCCCGAUACUGACGCUGAGGCACGAAAGCGUGGGGAGCAAACAGG
RNAcentral lists this ribosomal RNA (253 nucleotides) under uncultured bacterium. RNAcentral describes it as "partial 16S ribosomal RNA". It matches the Rfam family "Bacterial small subunit ribosomal RNA", at positions 524 to 776 of the family's 1533-position model. The record is from RNAcentral.